AAACGGUGAAGCCAUACAUAUUAGGAUCGAGUUUUCUUAUUGUUUUAGUCACGAAUAAAGUGUGUCCGGCCUUCUGUCCGAAUAACUUGGAUCCAGUGUGUGGAUCAAACGGCAAGACUUACCCCAACUUAUGCAGCUUGCGGUUUGCUGAUUGUGAAUUUGAAAACGACGAAGAAAUAACAUUAAAAUAUGACGGAUCAUGCAAGAGAAAAGGUAAACAUUUAUAUUUGAAUUUAAAACAUAACCGGAAAUUUGGGACAAGAUGGCUGUGCGUGUGCAUGUGGAUAAUAAUGAAAACUAAACUUGAUGAUAUUUUCCAACCUUUAUGAUAAUAUAUGUUUUAAAAUAUCAAAACAAAGUGUCAACAAUUUUGUCCUGCGAUAUAUAUACGCUCCAGUAUGUGGUCAGAUGGACAGACGUAUGAUAGCAUGUGUUUGUUGGAAGUGGCUGAUUUAGAUAAUUUUUUUCUUAUUAAAAAAACAUUGAAUCACUAGUGAUAGCUCUAUAUAUCCAGUCCGGCAGUCGUUGCCCCGAUUUUCCGUGUUCAUCAAAGAUUUUAUUUUUAUAUAAUAUAAAAAUUUACUGAACUAGAGGUUAUCGGUUUGGAAAAAAAAUGGGACUGAUUCAUAUAUUUCCCAAAAUAAAUUGUUGUUAUCUCCGUUUAGUCCAUGCAUGCCUAAACGAACAAACACGGUACCAAAAGCGCAGGGAUUUGCUAAAGGCUUAACUGAAAUCAUUGUUGAAAGAUUAAAUUUUGCACAUUUAUGCCUAUUAGACCUAGUUCGGGAAAAUUUAACAAUAUAGUCCCUCUGACAUUGCUGCGGCUAUUGAUGUCUUCGGCUGCAAGGUACCCCGGGUAAAAUGCCCUCCCGGCUUCAGAAUAAACUUUAUAUAAAAACUAAAGCGAAUACAAUUUUUAAUUUCUUAUGUACACCUGAGUUUUUGACGUUUCCUCUUUAAAAUAUUUGAGCAUGUAGCCUAUCGAGAAGAUUUGACGUAUGUUACCUUUAAUGAUCCAAAGAUCAUUAAAGGUAACAUACGUCAAAUCUUCUCGAUACGAAAUUACCAGUGGAAAUUACAAACAACAGCUCGCGAACGCCACAUUGUUUCAGAAAAAUUUCAGAGCGUGGUGUCCACGCGUCACGCGUGAGCGUGGGAUACUAUAAUAUCCGACGGUGGAUCUGCCGUGGGAUAUUAUAAUAUCUCACGCUGCAUUGCGAAAUCAUGAAUUUGAGUGAAAUACUGCAAAAAAUCACAUUAUCACGUGGUACAAAUGCUGUUUUUUCAUUGGACAAUUUGAAUUUGAGAUAUAAUAUUCCCCGAUAAUCACCGAGCCUGAGGCGAAUAAUUGUUUUAGCUAGUAUUUUUACACAAGCUUUUGUGUUUUUUGAGACUGAAUUUAUUUUAAUUUCGCUUAUUUCUUUGUCAGUGAACUUUCAUAAAACGGGUAGCCGCCAUUUUGAAAAUUUCUGUUUUAUUAUAUUCACCUGUAGGUGAAUAUAACAGCUUAUUACGUCAAAUUUGACCAAUCAACGUGAAGGAUUUGUUAUGUUCACUUGUGCAAAAAUACUAAAGCUCAAUGUCAUCAUGGAAACGUCGGAAAAUUUCUUUCUUUAUAUUUCUUUGAGCUAUAUUAUAAAACAAAUAUAAAACAUUUUUUCCGUAUUGAUAUAUAGUUAUUCAACACUCGUGGAAAUUGGGAAAACUGGAAAACUGUUUCCACACAAUUUUUCGUUUUCUCAAUUUCCACUCGUGUGGAUAUAACUGUAUAUCAACACAGAAAAUGUUUUAUAUUUGUAAAUUGUAAAUCAGGUACAGACCUGCCACUCAAGCUACACUUAACAAUAUUGGAUUGAAAUAAUUUUAAACAUUGCAGAUUGACUUCUGUCAAUCUAUAUAUGCGAUGCAGUAAACUAUAUUUAUGUGAAUCAGAUGGGAAAACGUAUAUGCCGAUAUUUUUAUGGCAUUAUGUGCAUUUAUGUCAUGAUUGUCUCUAAACUAUUGUAUAUAUUUUUGUUAGAAGCCAGAUAAGAUGGUGAAGAAGAGAAGUACUAAUGCUGAAAACGACAAGUUGAAUAUUCUCAUUAGUACCUUGUAAUAUUGAAUAAUAGUUGUUGUGAGUAUAGAUCGUCGUGAUCGUAUUAAAAAUAUAAAUGUUCAGAUUUGACUAAGCACUGCUGCUGCUAAUUAGAUCGUUUGAUAUACCCAUUGAAAUAAUAGAUAUAGAUUCUCAGUAAAAAUUUGUCUCCACAAAAUGGCGGCCAUUUAUAAGGGCAUUUUUGUUGGUCCCAGACUCCUGCGGCAAGGAAUUUCGCGCGGUUGCAGGUAGUGCGAAUUGUUUUUUCAACUGCAAAGUUUGCAAAACAUUUUAUGUCGAAACUUAAAAUAGAAAAAAAGUUUUGUAUAGGAG
Paramuricea clavata is the source of this 2410-nucleotide non-coding RNA. Lineage: Eukaryota; Metazoa; Cnidaria; Anthozoa; Malacalcyonacea; Plexauridae. The record is from the annotation of a GenBank genome assembly.